Long non-coding RNA from Triplophysa rosa, 2250 nucleotides. RefSeq lists it as uncharacterized. The record is from RefSeq and is a predicted model, not a curated record. NCBI's taxonomy places the organism in Eukaryota, Metazoa, Chordata, Actinopteri, Cypriniformes, Nemacheilidae. The transcript is spliced from 3 exons.
AUGCACAUUAUCUUGAUGUUUCUUCAACAGUAUGUUGUACAACAUGUAUUUAGGUUUAUUUAUUGAUAUUUCAGAGUUUCGUAUGUGACCUUGUCCUGGGAGUGAACUUGGAAGAGACGGGUAUUUCUCGCAGUGCUAACCAAGUAUCAGUUCAGCUCAGAAGUCUGACAACUGUGUCAUACUUAAUGUUUUAAAGGUGAAUCAUAAGCCAAGCUCUAGACCACUGCAGGUCUGACUUUGACGGUUGAGGCAAAUUCAGUGACACAUUCAAAGGCUCCUGAAAUCACCUGAGACUGACAGACACAGCUCUGGUUCGGCCUGAUGCUCAAGGAUGAUGACCACAGCCAAAGAAGUACGCAGGAUUUUGGAAAUACCGAGGUCCAAAAACUGAAUUUGUCCCAAACAAAAAAAUUGACUUUCUUGAUCUACAUACAGUAUGUGCAUUUUAAAAUGCUUGGAGUGCAAAUUACAUAACAAUUGCUAAAACCAUCUCUAUCUUUUCAUGUUUAUCAGUAAUGAAAGUAAACACACGGUCAAUUGAUAUUUUUAUACAAAUACUACCAGAUUGAAAUACAACCUGUCUUUCAUAAAGGAGCAUAAUGCAUUUGGGUUUGAAAUUACAUAAAGGUAAGAUGUUUCCAUUUUUGAGUGAACUGUCCCUUUAACUUUUUGUGUAGCUACAGAAGUUGCAGACACUUAGGUUUUUAUUAAAAAUAGUGUUUUUUAUAAUAAAAACAACUUAAAAUAAUAUAGAAACAGAAUUAAAGAACGAGAAUUUGUCUAAAAGUGAUGCAUUUGAAUUAUUUGCUUAUCGUAUAGUUGUUUUAAUAGGCUAACAGCAACCUAUAAACACACCUGAGUCAAAGCCACGCAGUUUAGCAUGAACUAGUGAAGGUCUGGUAAUGUUUUUGUCGCGUCAAACUGACAUUAAACACGUAAAUGAUAUGUUUUGUAGUUUAGAUUACUGGAUAUUACAAUCGGUCGUUUACUCAGGUUUGUUGUUUAAAUGUUGACGCGCGUCAAGCACGCUCAUAACGUGAGCGCAAACUCCCGGGCGCUCUGAAAAGAGGGAGAAAGCGACGCAGUCAGCGUUUUGCACGCAUUUUUAGACGCGACAUGUGAAUGGCCGCUAACAUUUCAAUGAUAAAACAUUAAACAGUUAGCUACGUACAUCGCGCUCUUUCACAGUAGAAACUGAACUCGAGCUUGACUUCUGUCAAUAGCAACUCACGUCUUCUUUCAUGUGAUUGGACAGUAAUCCUCGCCUUUCUUCGUUUGAUUGGCCAACUCAAUCAGAUUGACACUUAAAAGAGCGCUGUUAAACAGCUGAGGUAGAUCUAGAUCUAGGCGUUUUCUACAAAAUUGGCAGUACUAAAUACAGUUUUUUUCACGAUAAAAACUACCGAGGUCUGGACCUCGGGGACCUCAAUGGUGGGUACGGCCAUGACCACAGCCAUAGAUGGAAAGUGGUGGGAAUCUGUGAUGAUCAUGGCCUGCAAAUUUGAGCCCCAUGCCAGACCUUACUUUUGUUUGGCCAGAAACUCCAAAACUAAAAAUAAUGGAUGUAAUUAUCUGCCACUUAACACAGAAAACAAUAAAAGAUUAACUCAUUUUAUUGCCUGUCUGACUUCUUGGCUGCACUCUUGGCUGCACUGCUUGCUGUAUAAUCUUGCUGACCAGUUAACUUUAAAUAGUAAUCAUGUAUUUUUAUAAAUUUCCUGGUUAUAUAUAUACUUUUAUUUCUAUACAUUUUUUGUUCUCACAUUUCUACUGAUUUUGUGCUAAAAUGGGCUAAAACUUAUUUCUUUACUUUUUCCUAUGUCUCUGUUUAGGGCUAAUAUGUUUUUUUUCUGUAAAGCUGCUUUGCAACAAUGCAAAAUUGUGAAAGGUAUUAAUAUGUACAAAAUGUUGCAUUUAAUGAUGUGACCAGUAGGAAAUAAAAGUAUUACUUGAUUUCCAUGUCUUGCUUAUUGUUUUUACAAGGUAAAACAGAAAUAGAAAAUCAUAAAAUCUAUAAAAAAUAAAUGAAUGAAUGAAUAAAAAUACCUAAAUUAAAACCCCUCCUGUUUUCUGAUAAAGAUAGGGUUCUUUAUAGCACCACUGAAGUUCUAUGUAGAACUUUUCAAGGCAGGAUUCUUUGUGGAACCUCAUAAAAAGGGUUCUAUAUAGCACCAAAAGGGUUCUGCUGUUGCCGAAGCCGAAGAACCCUUUUUUGGUACUAUUUAGAACCAUUUUUCUUAAGAGUGUAUA